Molecule: non-coding RNA, 22 nt
Filed under: Platynereis dumerilii (Dumeril's clam worm)
Lineage: Eukaryota; Metazoa; Annelida; Polychaeta; Phyllodocida; Nereididae
Also listed under: 118 other names
Source: RNAcentral
UCCCUGAGACCCUAACUUGUGA